RNAcentral lists this ribosomal RNA (466 nucleotides) under uncultured bacterium. Its description in RNAcentral is "partial 16S ribosomal RNA". It matches the Rfam family "Bacterial small subunit ribosomal RNA", at positions 30 to 507 of the family's 1533-position model. The record is from RNAcentral.
CGAACGCUGGCGGCGUGCUUAACACAUGCAAGUCGAACGGAAAGGCCCUGCUUUUGUGGGGUGCUCGAGUGGCGAACGGGUGAGUAACACGUGAGUAACCUGCCCUUGACUUUGGGAUAACUUCAGGAAACUGGGGCUAAUACCGGAUAGGAGCUCCUGCUGCAUGGUGGGGGGUGGAAAGUUUCGGCGGUUGGGGAUGGACUCGCGGCUUAUCAGCUUGUUGGUGGGGUAGUGGCUUACCAAGGCUUUGACGGGUAGCCGGCCUGAGAGGGUGACCGGCCACAUUGGGACUGAGAUACGGCCCAGACUCCUACGGGAGGCAGCAGUGGGGAAUAUUGCACAAUGGGCGGAAGCCUGAUGCAGCAACGCCGCGUGCGGGAUGACGGCCUUCGGGCUGUAAACCGCUUUCGCCUGUGACGAAGCGUGAGUGACGGUAAUGGGUAAAGAAGCACCGGCUAACUACGUG